GAAGGAUCUGGGUCCUCGGCAACUUAAACGUGUUCACAGUUAAAUCAUUGUUUAGUUUUCUUAAUUCAAAACAGUAAACUAAAGCAAAAUUAGCGAUCUAAUUACAGCUCAUUUCGACAAAUGAUAGUCCCUCAGAAAUUGUAGUUUUCGGAUGAAAACUUCUCCAAGGGAGACUACCCACAAGAGAGGUUUUGGUAAACAAAAG
Molecule: long non-coding RNA, 205 nt
Filed under: Cicer arietinum (chickpea)
Lineage: Eukaryota; Viridiplantae; Streptophyta; Magnoliopsida; Fabales; Fabaceae
Description: long non-coding RNA (CARI_LNC002933)
Source: RNAcentral